CCAAUAGCGUAUAUUAAAGUUGUUGCAGUUAAAAAGCUCGUAGUUGAAUUUCGGGAUCAAUAUGCCAGUCAUGCCUUGGUAUGCACUGGUAUCUUUGAUUUCUCCCUUCUGACGAACUUUGAUGUCAUUAAUUUGGUGUCAUAGGGAAUCAGGACUGUUACUUUGAAAAAAUUAGAGUGUUUAAAGCAGGCUCACGCUUG
Molecule: ribosomal RNA, 200 nt
Filed under: uncultured Glomus
Lineage: Eukaryota; Fungi; Glomeromycota; Glomeromycetes; Glomerales; Glomeraceae
Description: partial small subunit ribosomal RNA
Rfam family: Eukaryotic small subunit ribosomal RNA
Source: RNAcentral